AUGGUUUCCACGUUAGGAAUCGCUUUACUAUGCUGCGCGGCGCUCACCGCGGCCGUGCCCUCCCCGGCCCUCCGACCCAACCACCUGCCCGCCGACUUCGACAUCAUCGUCAUCCAGAUCGACGAACCCUCCUCAGAGUCCGGCGAGCGGGAGGGCAGCGGGGUCUACGACGACAUCCUCAACCAGUUCUUCAGCUUCCAGCUCCCCGAAUUCCCCGGCUUCGGGCGGUACUUCUUCGACGAGGACGCCUCCCAACCCUCGGCGGAAACGGAAAUCGAGCGACCGGAAACCGUCAAGCGCCAACCGGAAACCGCCAAGCGUAGACCGGAAAUAGACGACAUCCGACCGGAAACAACGAUGGCGCCGGUCACGGAAGUGACGACGCAUUUUAUCCUGACCGAUAGCGCUGGCAGCGGUCACAACUUCGGCCUAUCGAGCCUGUUAAGCAGCAUGAUGUCGAGCGUCCUGUCCAGUUUCGUGCAGGCGCUGAAGCAGUCACCGGAAAUGGUGAACGCCAAACCGGAAACGCUGGCGUCGAGCGAGGAAGAUCAACCGGAAGUCACUCGGGUGGCCGGUGGAAAGCCUCAGGACGACCUCGACGAGGAUCUCGAGAGGAGAAUCGAGCGGCUUUUCAUGGAAAACGACGAAAAGGACAACGAUUUGAAACACGGCGGGGCUAAGAAGAUACCCCUCCUGCACGAACAUAAAUUUUUCGCGGCUGAGAAGCCGCGCGGAGCCCUGUUUCCGGUCAUAGAGCACCGAGUCGAGACAAGUGAGCCAAAAUCUAAUGAAAAUAAACCUAAACUGAGCAAAACCGAGGAGACAAAACUGAGCCCAGCCCAGAAAAAUGACCCGACGUGGAUUUCCGGCAAGCUGGAGUUCGACCGGAAAAUCCUGGAGCUUUUAUCCGCGAUGGACGAUCUCCCAGAACCGGUUUCAGAAGACGUCUCCACGGCUUCGCCUUCGGCGAAGACCACGAGAAGUGUCGAAAACCUGGACUCGGAGGAACCGGUCGCCGGUGAACGCGUCGUCCGCGAGAACUCCAACGCAUCGGUGUCUCCUUUCGACGACCAGUCCACGGAGGAGGUUCCGAUCUUCGGGGAGUCCGAGGAGGCGGAGGAGACUCCCGCCGCCUCUUCCGAGGAGCAGGAACAUUUCUACGUGCCCCACGGAGAGAGCCCCUCCCCGGAGGUCUUCCCGAGCACCUACCUGUUCCUGCCGCGCUUCGAGGAGACACGCCGCAGCAUCCCCGAUCUCACCGCGGAGGUCGUCCUCGUCCCCGCGCCCCGACCUCCGCGGAGGUACAUCCCGGAUUUCGAACACUAUUCCAGUUUAGGCCACGAGAUUCUCGGGUAUCCUAGUUUAGGCCACGGAUAUCCCGGUUCCGGUUACGAUUAUCCUAGCUCAGCAUAUGAUUAUCCCGGUUUAGGCCACGAUUAUUCAAGUUUAGGCCACGGUUAUCCAAGUUUAGGCCAUGAUUAUUCAAGUUUAGGCCACGAUUUCCGUGCUGUUCCAGCUUUCGGCCACAGUUACACGUCUAUGGCCGACUAUGCGAGGCCAGCGGCCCCGAGAUUCGUGGCUGCUCGAUCGCACCCUUAUGCAGAUUUGCUGUGGCCCCGACGUAAAAUGCCGAUGAGUUACCAUCCAUCCCUGGAGUAUUUAGAUGUAGCGGAGCCUCGUCCGCCUAUGGCCCCUCAGUAUUUCCUUUUAUAA
RNAcentral lists this long non-coding RNA (1713 nucleotides) under Bemisia tabaci. RNAcentral describes it as "lncRNA ENSSSA1UGG011564". Lineage: Eukaryota; Metazoa; Arthropoda; Insecta; Hemiptera; Aleyrodidae. The record is from RNAcentral.